CUCCAAAAUACUAUGGAUUUAUUUUUGGUUUUUGUUGCAAUUAUUGCGCAAUCUUAUAUUACUUUUUGGCUCAAAUGAUUAUUGUCAAAGUUCUCUUGGACAUCGAUCCAUCAUAAUUAAAUACUAGUAAUCUCCAAUAACACCAACAAUCAAUCCUAAUUAAGCCCAUUGUAAAAAGAAAAAUGUAUGUUCCAUAAAGAUCUGAAAAUAACAUUUAUUCACUCAAAAUGAAAUUAAAUACACAAUUACAGAAC
RNAcentral lists this long non-coding RNA (254 nucleotides) under Mytilus galloprovincialis (Mediterranean mussel). The record is from RNAcentral. Lineage: Eukaryota; Metazoa; Mollusca; Bivalvia; Mytilida; Mytilidae.